AGUGAACGCUGGCGGUAGGCCUAACACAUGCAAGUCGAACGGCAGCACAGUAAGAGCUUGCUCUUACGGGUGGCGAGUGGCGGACGGGUGAGGAAUACAUCGGAAUCUACUUUUUCGUGGGGGAUAACGUAGGGAAACUUACGCUAAUACCGCAUACGACCUACGGGUGAAAUCAGGGGAUCUUCGGACCUUGCGCGAUUGAAUGAGCCGAUGUCGGAUUAGCUAGUUGGCGGGGUAAAGGCCCACCAAGGCGACGAUCCGUAGCUGGUCUGAGAGGAUGAUCAGCUACACUGGAACUGAGACACGGUCCAGACUCCUACGGGAGGCAGCAGUGGGGAAUAUUGGACAAUGGGCGCAAGCCUGAUCCAGCCAUACCGCGUGGGUGAAGAAGGCCUUCGGGUUGUAAAGCCCUUUUGUUGGGAAAGAAAAGCAGCAGGUUAAUACCCCGCUGUUCUGACGGUACCCAAAGAAUAAGCACCGGCUAACUUCGUG
RNAcentral lists this ribosomal RNA (492 nucleotides) under uncultured bacterium. Its description in RNAcentral is "partial 16S ribosomal RNA". It matches the Rfam family "Bacterial small subunit ribosomal RNA", at positions 29 to 507 of the family's 1533-position model. The record is from RNAcentral.